This 468-nucleotide ribosomal RNA is filed under the name uncultured bacterium. RNAcentral's name for it is "partial 16S ribosomal RNA". It matches the Rfam family "Bacterial small subunit ribosomal RNA", at positions 28 to 507 of the family's 1533-position model. The record is from RNAcentral.
GACGAACGCUGGCGGCGUGCUUAACACAUGCAAGUCGAACGGAAAGGCCCUGCUUUUGUGGGGUGCCCGAGUGGCGAACGGGUGAGUAACACGUGAGUAACCUGCCCUUGACUUUGGGAUAACUUCAGGAAACUGGGGCUAAUACCGGAUAGGAGCUCCUGCUGCAUGGUGGGGGUUGGAAAGUUUCGGCGGUUGGGGAUGGACUCGCGGCUUAUCAGCUUGUUGGUGGGGUAGUGGCUUACCAAGGUUUUGACGGGUAGCCGGCCUGAGAGGGUGACCGGCCACAUUGGGACUGAGAUACGGCCCAGACUCCUACGGGAGGCAGCAGUGGGGAAUAUUGCACAAUGGGCGGAAGCCUGAUGCAGCAACGCCGCGUGCGGGAUGACGGCCUUCGGGUUGUAAACCGCUUUCGCCUGUGACGAAGCGUGAGUGACGGUAAUGGGUAAAGAAGCACCGGCUAACUACGUG